AAGAUGACUGAUGAGCGCCCUGUUGUACAGCAGGCUCAUGAGAUACAGUCGCUCGCAAAAGAACUUGAGUACUUCAAGUGUGUGUUGCCGGACAAAUUUGUUGCCGGAGGCAUCAUUGCCAAGCUUCCACCUUCGUGGAACAAUUUUGCUACUUCCCUGAAACACAAGAGACAGGAGUUUUCCGUUGCAGAUCUCAUUGGUAAUCUUGAUGUUGAAGAGAAGGCGAGAGCAAAGGACACACGUGCUCGAGUUGCUGAGGGAGGUUCUAGUGCCCACAUGGUACAGAAGAAGAACUCCCAGCCCAACAAGUUCAAAAACAAUAAGAACAAAACUCAGGGCAAAGGCAAGUUUGAUACAAAGAACAAGCCAUCACAUUCUACCAACUUCAAGAAGAAUUCUCAUAAGAAGGGGAAGGGACUUUGCCAUGUCUGCGGUGAUCCUAAUCACUGGGCUCCGAAGUGUCCUAACCGCUUUGAGGAGCGCGAACAUGAGAAGAGCGGCAAGUCUGCUAAUGUUGUCAUCGGUGAUAUUGAUAUGAAGGAAUCAGGGUACGGUAUUUUUCCUACCAUCCUUUCAGUAUUUCAAUCCCCUGAUUGGUUAAUUGACACCGGUGCCAAUGUACAUGUUUGUGCUGACGCCUCCAUGUUUUCUUCUUACCAGGCAACAGGGACUUCACCUGUGCUGAUGGGGAACGGGUCACAUGCCAUCGUUCUAGGUGUUGGUACGGUCGAUCUGAAGUUUACUUCGGGGAAGACUGUGCGUCUGAAGAACGUUCAUCAUGUGCCGUCCAUCAAUAAAAAUCUCAUUAGCGGUUCCCGUUUAUGUCGAGAUGGUUUUAAGUUGGUUUUCGAAUCCAAUAAAGUUGUAAUCUCUAAGUGUGGACAAUUUUUUGGAAAAGGCUAUGAGUGCGGAGGCUUGUUCCGCCUAUCUUUGUUAGAUAUUUGCACUAAAGUUAUUAAUAAUGUUUGCCACAAUAAUGAGUCUGAUAUUUGGCAUUCACGACUCUGUCAUAUUAACUUUGGUUGCAUGACGCGGUUAGCCAAUAUGAAUUUAAUUCCG
This 1059-nucleotide ribosomal RNA is filed under the name Triticum aestivum (bread wheat). Its description in RNAcentral is "partial small subunit ribosomal RNA". Lineage: Eukaryota; Viridiplantae; Streptophyta; Magnoliopsida; Poales; Poaceae. The record is from RNAcentral.